AUUGAACGCUGGCGGCAUGCCUUACACAUGCAAGUCGAACGGCAGCACGGGAGCAAUCCUGGUGGCGAGUGGCGAACGGGUGAGUAAUAUAUCGGAACGUGCCCAGUCGUGGGGAUAACGUAGCGAAAGCUACGCUAAUACCGCAUACGAUCUAUGGAUGAAAGCGGGGGAUCGCAAGACCUCGCGCGAUUGGAGCGGCCGAUAUCAGAUUAGGUAGUUGGUGAGGUAAAGGCUCACCAAGCCGACGAUCUGUAGCUGGUCUGAGAGGACGACCAGCCACACUGGGACUGAGACACGGCCCAGACUCCUACGGGAGGCAGCAGUGGGGAAUUUGGACAAUGGGCGGCGAAGACCUCGAUCCAGCAAUAGCCGCGUGC
This 377-nucleotide ribosomal RNA is filed under the name uncultured bacterium. RNAcentral's name for it is "bacterial SSU rRNA". It matches the Rfam family "Bacterial small subunit ribosomal RNA", at positions 30 to 404 of the family's 1533-position model. The record is from RNAcentral.